RNAcentral lists this ribosomal RNA (429 nucleotides) under Chloroflexota bacterium. Its description in RNAcentral is "Chloroflexi bacterium partial 16S ribosomal RNA". It matches the Rfam family "Bacterial small subunit ribosomal RNA", at positions 355 to 776 of the family's 1533-position model. Lineage: Bacteria; Bacillati; Chloroflexota. The record is from RNAcentral.
UGGGGAAUAUUGCACAAUGGGCGCAAGCCUGAUGCAGCCAUGCCGCGUGUGUGAAGAAGGCCUUCGGGUUGUAAAGCACUUUCAGCGGGGAGGAAGGCGAUAAGGUUAAUAACCUUGUCGAUUGACGUUACCCGCAGAAGAAGCACCGGCUAACUCCGUGCCAGCAGCCGCGGUAAUACGGAGGGUGCAAGCGUUAAUCGGAAUUACUGGGCGUAAAGCGCACGCAGGCGGUCUGUCAAGUCGGAUGUGAAAUCCCCGGGCUCAACUUGGGAACUGCAUUCGAAACUGGCAGGCUAGAGUCUUGUAGAGGGGGGUAGAAUUCCAGGUGUAGCGGUGAAAUGCGUAGAGAUCUGGAGGAAUACCGGUGGCGAAGGCGGCCCCCUGGACAAAGACUGACGCUCAGGUGCGAAAGCGUGGGGAGCAAACAGG